CAGGAUGAGACGAGUUUCUCUGCCGCAGGUUCGGGUCGAACGCAGUGAGACAACGGAGCCGCUUGCGGCGACGGCCCGAAGGGCGAGGCGAAGCCGAGUCAUCCUG
This 106-nucleotide small RNA is filed under the name Klebsiella pneumoniae. Its description in RNAcentral is "RtT RNA". It matches the Rfam family "RtT RNA", at positions 18 to 118 of the family's 130-position model. Rfam says of the family: This family represents a bacterial cis-regulatory element known as RtT RNA. The exact function of RtT is unknown although it is thought that it may be involved in changing the cellular response in relation to amino acid starvation. Lineage: Bacteria; Pseudomonadati; Pseudomonadota; Gammaproteobacteria; Enterobacterales; Enterobacteriaceae. The record is from RNAcentral.